AUGCCUGUCUUAUUUAGUAUAUGUCAAGAUCAGGAUGAGACUAUUGCUGAGUUUGUGGCAAAAGACUAUAAACUGGGGUUCAGACGGAGACUGUUUGGAGAGGUUAAGGACCAGUGGGACUGGGUGGUCUCUGAGGCUAAAAAAUAUACCCUAAACACCUCCCCUGAUGUAGUUUCAUGGAGCCUUAAUAAGAAGAAGAGGUUCUCCACCAAAUCAGUUUAUGAGUGGCUGGAGAGGGAUUUGGCUGGUCCGAAUAACAAAUGGAUUUGGAAAUCUAGUAUUCCUUUAAAAAUUAAAAUUUUCUUGUGGCAGUUGUUUCAAAAUACUGUGCUUACACGGGAUAACUUGCGUAAAAGGGGCUGGCCUGGAAAUCCUGCUUGUUCCUUCUGCAAUAACAUGGAAGAUGCUAAUCAUCUGUUUUUUACAUGUUCACUUGCUCGAACAGUAUGGGGGGUCUUGGGUGUAACAAUUGGGGCUUCCUGUUGCCCUCGAUCACUGGCAAAGUUGGGCAUGGCUUUAUAA
Molecule: ribosomal RNA, 522 nt
Filed under: Triticum aestivum (bread wheat)
Lineage: Eukaryota; Viridiplantae; Streptophyta; Magnoliopsida; Poales; Poaceae
Description: partial small subunit ribosomal RNA
Source: RNAcentral